Long non-coding RNA from Clupea harengus (Atlantic herring), 665 nucleotides. The record is from Ensembl. NCBI's taxonomy places the organism in Eukaryota, Metazoa, Chordata, Actinopteri, Clupeiformes, Clupeidae.
CAACAUUGUACUCGAAUUUCAUAAUCGAAACACUCUUGCUUAUUUGCCUGGUUUUUGUUCAAGCAAACAAGUCCUACAGAUGGACUGCAAAUGACAUCUUGGCCCAACUGAGUAAGGGGUAAGGUUGGAUACAUCUUGGCCCUGCAAUCAACCUUUGUUGGCUGUGUACAACCAAUACGUUUGGAAUUGAUAAGUUGUGAAAUUGAUUCAGUGUCUCCUCCAUCAGGGCCAGGUGUUGGGGAUCCAAGAUCAAUCCAGUCAGACCAUUCACAUGUGCAGUUUUUGGGAGGGGGUGCAGUUAUUGAUGAUGAUGUUGGUAAAGUGACCGUGGUACUGGGUGUUGUAGGUGUUCCGGUGGUCGUAGGUGUAGUUGUGGACGUUGUUGUUGUGGGCGUAGGUGUAGUUGUGGUUGUUGUUGGUGUCGGGGUUGUUGUCGUUGAUGUAGUCGUAGUAGUUGGCACAGUGACAGUGGUACUAGGUGUUGUAGGUGUUCCGGUGGUCGUAGGUGUAGUUGUGGACGUUGUUGUUGUGGGCGUAGGUGUAGUUGUGGUUGUUGUUGGUGUCGGAGUUGUCGUCGUCGUCGUAGUAGUUGGCACAGUGACAGUGGUACUAGGUGUUGUAGGUGUUUCGGUGGUUGUAGAUGUUGUGGACGUUGUUGUUGUGGU